UACGAAGGGGGCUAGCGUUGCUCGGAAUGACUGGGCGUAAAGGGCGCGUAGGCGGCUCAUACAGUCAGAUGUGAAAUUCCUGGGCUUAACCUGGGGGCUGCAUUUGAUACGUGUGGGCUUGAGUGGGGAAGAGGGUCGUGGAAUUCCCAGUGUAGAGGUGAGAUUCGUAGAUAUUGGGAAGAACACCGGUGGCGAAGGCGGCGACCUGGUCCUUGACUGACGCUGAGGCGCGAAAGCGUGGGGAGCAAACAGG
This 253-nucleotide ribosomal RNA is filed under the name uncultured bacterium. Its description in RNAcentral is "partial 16S ribosomal RNA". It matches the Rfam family "Bacterial small subunit ribosomal RNA", at positions 524 to 776 of the family's 1533-position model. The record is from RNAcentral.